Molecule: ribosomal RNA, 1289 nt
Filed under: Flavobacterium sp. EP233
Lineage: Bacteria; Pseudomonadati; Bacteroidota; Flavobacteriia; Flavobacteriales; Flavobacteriaceae
Description: bacterial SSU rRNA
Rfam family: Bacterial small subunit ribosomal RNA
Source: RNAcentral
GGUAUACUUCUUCGGGAGUAGAGACCGGCGCACGGGUGCGUAACGCGUAUGCAAUCUACCUUUUACAGAGGGAUAGCCCAGAGAAAUUUGGAUUAAUACCUCAUAGCAUAGCAACUUCGCAUGAAGUCACUAUUAAAGUCACAACGGUAAAAGAUGAGCAUGCGUCCCAUUAGCUAGUUGGUAAGGUAACGGCUUACCAAGGCUACGAUGGGUAGGGGUCCUGAGAGGGAGAUCCCCCACACUGGUACUGAGACACGGACCAGACUCCUACGGGAGGCAGCAGUGAGGAAUAUUGGACAAUGGGCGCAAGCCUGAUCCAGCCAUGCCGCGUGCAGGAUGACGGUCCUAUGGAUUGUAAACUGCUUUUAUACAGGAAGAAACCCUGGUUCGUGAACCAGCUUGACGGUACUGUAAGAAUAAGGAUCGGCUAACUCCGUGCCAGCAGCCGCGGUAAUACGGAGGAUCCAAGCGUUAUCCGGAAUCAUUGGGUUUAAAGGGUCCGUAGGCGGUUUAGUAAGUCAGUGGUGAAAGCCCAUCGCUCAACGGUGGAACGGCCAUUGAUACUGCUAAACUUGAAUUAUUAGGAAGUAACUAGAAUAUGUAGUGUAGCGGUGAAAUGCUUAGAGAUUACAUGGAAUACCAAUUGCGAAGGCAGGUUACUACUAAUAUAUUGACGCUGAUGGACGAAAGCGUGGGUAGCGAACAGGAUUAGAUACCCUGGUAGUCCACGCCGUAAACGAUGGAUACUAGCUGUUGGGAGCAAUCUCAGUGGCUAAGCGAAAGUGAUAAGUAUCCCACCUGGGGAGUACGUUCGCAAGAAUGAAACUCAAAGGAAUUGACGGGGGCCCGCACAAGCGGUGGAGCAUGUGGUUUAAUUCGAUGAUACGCGAGGAACCUUACCAAGGCUUAAAUGUAGUUUGWCCGAUUUGGAAACAGAUUUUUCGCAAGACAAAUUACAAGGUGCUGCAUGGUUGUCGUCAGCUCGUGCCGUGAGGUGUCAGGUUAAGUCCUAUAACGAGCGCAACCCCUGUUGUUAGUUGCCAGCGAGUCAUGUCGGGAACUCUAACAAGACUGCCAGUGCAAACUGUGAGGAAGGUGGGGAUGACGUCAAAUCAUCACGGCCCUUACGCCUUGGGCUACACACGUGCUACAAUGGCCGGKACAGAGAGCAGCCACUGGGCGACCAGGASCGAAUCUAUAAAACCGGUCCAGUUCGGAUCGGAGUCUGCAACUCGACUCCUGAACUGGAAUCGUNGUAAUCGGAUAUAGCAUGAUCCGUGAAUCGUUCC